CAAAACGGAGAGUUUGAUCCUGGCUCAGGAUGAACGCUGGCGGUAUGCUUAACACAUGCAAGUCGAACGGUGUCUUC
Molecule: ribosomal RNA, 77 nt
Filed under: Nostoc sp. UIC 10630
Lineage: Bacteria; Bacillati; Cyanobacteriota; Cyanophyceae; Nostocales; Nostocaceae
Description: partial 16S ribosomal RNA
Rfam family: Bacterial small subunit ribosomal RNA
Source: RNAcentral